Molecule: ribosomal RNA, 253 nt
Filed under: uncultured bacterium
Lineage: Bacteria
Description: partial 16S ribosomal RNA
Rfam family: Bacterial small subunit ribosomal RNA
Source: RNAcentral
UACGUAGGGGGCAAGCGUUGUCCGGAAUCAUUGGGCGUAAAGAGCGCGUAGGCGGCCCUGUAAGUCCGCUGUGAAAGUCAAGGGCUCAACCCUUGGAUGCCGGUGGAUACUGCAGGGCUAGAGUCCGGAAGAGGCGAGUGGAAUUCCUGGUGUAGCGGUGAAAUGCGCAGAUAUCAGGAGGAACACCGGUGGCGAAGGCGGAUCUCUGGGCCAUUACUGACGCUGAGGAGCGAAAGCGUGGGGAGCGAACAGG